GGGAUUUGUAACGAUCUGGGCCUGGCCAGCCCGGAUCCUCCCUUAUCCCACGAGAAGAACAGCACGUCUUACAGGGACACAGAGACCCUCCAUGUGAGCUACUGUCCUGGGAACGCUGGUCGUACCAAGGGAAGCCCUUUGGCAGGCAUGCAGCCUUUGUUCCUCUGCCUGCUUAAGCAAGCUUCUCUUAGGGGCCGGUUGCGGGUGCACACUUCUGUCCAGCCGGCCGCUACUGGACACGCAAGUAAUUAAUAUGGAACAGAAAAACAGCUUAACGUCUCCUGACACCAAAGCCCAUGCUCAAUUCAUUAAUCCUUGUUGGAUCCAGACAGGAGAAGAGGGCUCAUUGCCAGCAUCGCGACAGCUUCCCUAACUGAUUUCAUGACACCUCUGAAAAAGGCAAAAUGCUGUGCUGCCACUUAAACAAAGCUAUGGCCAGACCGUGUGGUGAAGGCAAAAGCUUCCAGACCUUAAGGAUCACGGACUAUAACCUGGAGAAUUUAUUUAUCAAAAGAGGCAUCAAAUAAAAGACUCUUUGCAGCAUGUUGGAAAGGACCAUACUAGGAUGAGAAGAAGAUGCCAUCUGUUGUAGACAGCUGUCCCAAGACUCCUGACCAGGCGUGACUACAUUCCGUAGUUAAAAUAUGCUUUUGCCACAGAAAGAACAGGUUGCAACAUGUGUCCUAUGUCUCAGGCCAUUGGCUCCUAGUUUGCCACUAAAGUAUUGAGGAGAUGCUACAUUUUGGGCUUUGUUUACUAAAUCUCGGGUCUGCAGGAGAUUCGUUUAUUAGCAUUCAGUUCAUAAAUGUGUCAUAUUAGUUGAAGGCUAAAUUGGUAAUCUUAUUCUAUUAAGUUAAUUGAUUUUAUAUAUUCUUCUUGCCUUUUCAAGGCAAAGGGAGAUAAAAAAAAGAAGGGAAGAGGGAGAGAGGAGAGAGAUAUAAUUAAGAGAGAGAGACAAUUCUAUCUACUCAAAGUAAAAACAAAUUUGAGAAGUUAAAUAAUUGAGCUCAGUUUUCUGCCUGUGAGAUGGGAGAACAAUGUGGUGGAAAUUCAGCACCCCAGUGAAUGCUCAAUAAUUAUUUCCAUUCGCUCUUUUGUGAUGGGGUUAAAUCUGAAAUAAAUGGAAAAGGUACAAAAUGAUACUUAUCUUUUUUUGUCUUCCUCAUCUAAUUGGGGGCUUUAGGCUAAGUGAUCAAGACUAUAGAUCUGCCUCUAUUCAUGACCUAAUUUCUUUCCAAACUCCAGAAUUUCUGGGUUUGUAAGAGUGGUGCAACCAUAGGGAAUACAAUUGAUUAAGACAAAGUCACUAGAACCAUGGUGACGAGCUGUGUCUUCAGCAACUGUGGAAAUGGCAACAGGGAGAAAAUAAUUGAGCAUAACUAGGCAGUUAGAGAGGAUUUUGAGCUUUUACUGAGUUCUCAGAUACUUUCUUCAUUCAGUUGUACAAAGAUUUAAUUGCAUUUUCCCCUUCUCUGAAUUCUAAUCUUUUUAUUUCACAAAGCUCGAGUGAUUUCUGAACAUCACAUUCCACUUCUGCAUAGAUAAGAGCUGCUUCAUAAAGUUCUGUUAAAGGACAUUGUUUACUAUUUCUCUCAGUUUGUAGAAUGCUAUGGCAGAGCGGAUAAAGGAGCCAAGGUUGCUUUUUAUAUCUUUCACUAGCAAGACUUCAUGGCGUCUUUGUUUUCUUGUCAUACUAUUGGCUGCAUGCCACUAUAGGCAGAUCAUUUUUUAAGUCAAAUUUGUAUAAAUCUUAUUCUAAUUUAUUUAUUUUAUUAACAAGACUAUGUUUUGCAUGCUGGUGUCCAAGUAAGGGACUCUGAAGGUUUAUUUAAAUGUAAACUGCUACCAAGAUGAUAAUUACACCAAUAUAGAGGUAACCUCGAGCGGACCAUUUUCGUAAUAGUGUACAUGCUCUCUUCCAUAUGCUUUUAACUGACAUAACUUUUCAUAUUUGUUCAACGGAGCAGGGUUUUUUGUUGAUUAAAAAUACAUGUAACAAAUUAGAGAUGUUUAGAAACAAAAAGUAAAUUACUUUUUCAAUCCAAAUAAAAUUAUUUUUACUGUCGCAUAUGAGUGUCUGUUCACUAUCCACAUGCACAUGCAUUUUACCUAAUUGUGGUUAUUAUGCAUUUGGCUUUUCUGCUUCUGAAAUCAUGUUACAAACAUUUCUCUUUCUCUUGAGAGACUGCAGAGUUAUGAAUUCCAAUCUUAUUCUCUGUUGAUAUUCCAUAAUUUGCUAAGCCAUUCCUUCUUUUAAGACGUUUAUGUUCUUAUCCAUCUGUUAUCUACUAUCUUUAUAUUUUUGUAUUAAAGAUUAUUUUAUGAUCUUGCACAUGUAUAUUUGUAUAUGUGUGUAGUUUCUGUUCAAUUAUUUCUCUAUGAUGAAUUCCUAGAAGUGGAAUUACAAGACCAACAAUUAUAAAUUUCUAUGUCACUCCUGCUGUGUACUUUUGCAAUUUUUCCUAAGAAGGUUGAUAUAAACUUUUUUAAAUGCUUUACAAAUUGCAUGAUUUUGGAAGUGUCAACAGCAUGUAAAAAUUAUGAUUGUUUGAAAAUAUAAUGUGAAAGUCUGGCCUAGUGUCAAUAUACAUAAAAGCCCCAAAAAUGUUUUUCUUUGAAUCAGAAUAUUAAUGUUUUGAUUUUUAUUUACUGUACUCAAUAUUUAAUAUCAUAGUUAAAAAAACAAUUAAGCAAUCAAGAUUUAGAGAUUUUUGAAGAAGUUUUGCCACUUUUUUUUCUACUUGUUUCAUAUGUGGAGAGAUCCACAAGCUUAGUAAGAAAAUAUUGCUUUUAGCGCGAUGCACGUCUAACACAUUAUGCUAUCCUGAAUACUCUUUAUCAUAUCCUAGUAAUUUUGCUAUAAAUAAUCUUUCAGAAAAUAUUUUUAUAGAAGACUGCUAACUGAAAGUGUGCUUGUCAGAUAAAUUGAGGUCUUCUUUUGCCAGGCUGUAAAGACUUUUUUGCUGUUCUUUAUCCAUAUUGUAGUGAUUCAAGAGUGUCUGGAAUUACAUUUUACCUUUUGUGAAAAUUUUGAAGAUUAUAACAAUGAAAGCAAAUCACAACAUGUGAUUAAAAUGGGGCCUCCUUAAUAGUUUAUUAACCUUUAGAUACACUGAGGAAAGCAGACAGAUUUCAUCUUAUGGACCAAGUCAGAUACACUAGUGUGGCUGUCUGGACCGUGUCGUUGGGAAUGGCAGAGAAGACUCAUCUUGUCAGCAGGAGAGCAUGCUGGGAUGCUGAGACACAGUGAUUUGUCUUGUAUGUCGUUGGAACAGGGUGGGAGUAUAUUGGCCACAUUCCUACCAUCCAGUAUCUACGUCUUUUUAUACUAAUCCUUCCAGUUGAUCAAUAUGGAUAAACGGGUGUAGGAAACCGAGAAAGGGCUAUAAACCAAAUGCUGCUAAUUGUCACCCAUCUACAAGUUCACAUGAAGUCAUGGCUACAUCUGUCUAAACUGGGCCACCCUCACCUCUCACUUGUCUGACUCAGGGGCAGUGUACAACAAUGGAAGCAAUGUCACCCCCUAAGAGACAUUUAGGAAAUGUGCAAAAAGCUAUAUGGUUCUCACAACGAUUGGUGGGUGCUACUGACUUUGCAUAGGUAGGGAUGAGAGAGCCUAGAAAGCUGAGAUGCAACUUUGUUCUGCACAACAAAGAAAUCUUCAAUGUCUGCAGGAAUCUCCAGCGUCCAGCAAUGCAAACCUCAGCAUGAGUACGUCCCAAGAGCUGGACAGGAAGAGUGCCACCCCAGCCCCACCCAGCACAAACACUCAAAAAGUGAGCUUAUUAAAGAAUUUAGGGGGUGCCUCCUUCACUUGGGAUCCACACAGCUGUUAUAGCCCUAAAUGUCCUCUCUUUUUAUCAGGCCCCAGGGAAACACUCAUUUUAACAUCUUCAAAACAAAAGAUGACUGUGUCUGAAUGCGGUGAGAUUUCUGGGUGCUGUCGCUGCUUGAAGGGGUGCAGGGAGUACUUGAGAGACAUAAAUGCUUACACAGAGAAAAGGAAAAUUAACUCGUCAAGUUCUUUCUUUCAGGUAACAUAAAUGCAAUCAAUUCUGGAAUAAUUAGAAACUGUUUGCUGUUUGCAAGAAGUGCUGAGCAUCCAUUUUCUUGUUUCUCUCGAUGCUCCAGUUUGUGGUUCCAGAGUUAUUCACAAAUUCAUGUUAUGGUCUGAACACUUGUACUUGGCUCCAUAAGGAACAUUUUAAAACAUGAGGUAGUUCAUAUUACUCUUAAAUCUGUGUAUUUGCAGGCCUGUAUGUAAUGAGCAAGAAACAAGAUACCAAUUCAUUACACUGGCCACAAAAAGGACACUGAAUGCUAAAUGUUGAGAAUAGUUGUAUUUUAUAAACUUGCCUAAUAUGAAUUAAUUAAAAUUUCUACUUAUUUAAAUAUGUUUGAUUUGAAAUUUGGUAUUAAUUUAUAUAAAUAUGAGGUUUGCCUUUUAAUUUAAUAAAGUGUUAAAUAAAACUUCUUUGGAAAACAUAAAUUUAAAAAAGUCCAACAAUUUAGGAGGAGGUCAUUAUUGAGGAGGGGACUCAAAUAUUAGUCAUAGCUUUGUCCUGG
This is a long non-coding RNA of Equus caballus (horse), 4566 nucleotides long. The record is from Ensembl. Lineage: Eukaryota; Metazoa; Chordata; Mammalia; Perissodactyla; Equidae.